UACGUAGGCAGCGAGCGUUGUUCGGAGUUACUGGGCGUAAAGAGUGCGUAGGCGGUUUUCUAAGUUUGGUGUGAAAUCUCCCGGCUUAACUGGGAGGGUGCGCCGAAGACUGGAAGGCUCAGAGUGUGGGAGAGGUAAGCGGAAUUCCUGGUGUAGCGGUGAAAUGCGUAGAUAUCAGGAGGAACACCUGCGGUGUAGACGGCUUACUGGACCAUAACUGACGCUGAGGCACGAAAGCGUGGGUAGCAAACAGG
Molecule: ribosomal RNA, 254 nt
Filed under: uncultured bacterium
Lineage: Bacteria
Description: partial 16S ribosomal RNA
Rfam family: Bacterial small subunit ribosomal RNA
Source: RNAcentral